AUUGAACGCUAGCGGGAUGCUCUACACAUGCAAGUCGAACGGCAGCGCGGACUUCGGUCUGGCGGCGAGUGGCGAACGGGUGAGUAAUGUAUCGGAACGUGCCCAGUAGCGGGGGAUAACUACGCGAAAGCGUAGCUAAUACCGCAUACGCCCUACGGGGGAAAGCAGGGGAUCGUAAGACCUUGCACUAUUUGAGCGGCCGAUAUCGGAUUAGCUAGUUGGUGAGGUAACGGCUCACCAAGGCGACGAUCCGUAGCUGGUUUGAGAGGACGACCAGCCACACUGGGACUGAGACACGGCCCAGACUCCUACGGGAGGCAGCAGUGGGGAAUUUUGGACAAUGGGGGCAACCCUGAUCCAGCCAUCCCGCGUGUGCGAUGAAGGCCUUCGGGUUGUAAAGCACUUUUGGCAGGAAAGAAACGUCGCGGGCUAAUACCCCGUGGAACUGACGGUACCUGCAGAAUAAGCACCGGCUAACUACGUG
This 484-nucleotide ribosomal RNA is filed under the name uncultured bacterium. Its description in RNAcentral is "partial 16S ribosomal RNA". It matches the Rfam family "Bacterial small subunit ribosomal RNA", at positions 30 to 507 of the family's 1533-position model. The record is from RNAcentral.